AUUGGGCAUUGAGUGGACAAAGUCAAUGCUUUGCCUCUGCUAUCCACUAAGAAAAGGAAGAUCUCUCACCACACACAGAACUGACUGAGGUGCUUUCCUCUGCAGGAAGGAGGAACUGAGGACUAAGCUAUGACUGUGAGGCUGACCGUUCUCUGGCCAGCUCCUGGGGGAGCACUCCUACAUGUUGUCUGUCUGUUAAAAUUCUGAGCAAUUCUCUAACCUGUUCUUAAAAGGCAUGUGAAAAGCUGUUAUGAGCAGUCACAGAACAGAAACAAAAUGAAAAAGUUUCAGAAACUGACCAUCUCAAAAUAGGGUAGUGAUAGUCAGAAAGCAAUAUAGCUGCCUAGCAAGUUAGUCUAUGCCCAGAACUAUUUAAUUUGAAUUGCAACUCAAAUCUUGCCACUGAUCUUAGUGAGAAGAAGUUUAAGUUAUUGGCUGUCUUGUAACCACUAGCCCACUAAACUUCAGAUAAACUUAAAAUACUUCCACCAGAUAAGUAUAACUGGCGUUUGAAGGCCACAUAGAAAGUCAUUACUGAAAGGUGCUAACUUUUCUGAUAAUAAAUUAGUUUUCUGACUCCUUGAACACUAUGUCAGCCCAGACAGUAGAUUGUUUUAUAGCACAGGUCUGGCGUGCUGUUUGCUUACUGAUGUUAUGAAUGUCUGUGAUUUUAUUUAGGGUUUAGGUUAUCACCAGAUGUUGAGAUUGUACAGGGAAAAAAAUCUUGAAAUGUCCUAGCCUGAUCUACUCAACUGUUCAUCCAGCAGCUCACAUGAAGUGGAAGGUUAACAAAUUUCUGAUAUCAAAGCCAGCUGUUCAGAACAACACGGGGUAAUAGCCAUCCUUGUCAAAUGCGCCAAUUAAUUCACCAGACUGUCAAUGUUGGUAUAAUUGAUAGACUCCACAAUCUGGCUGAGUAAUGAAAGUGGAAAGCAUUACUAAGACCAUUUCACCUCCUAAGAGAUCUUGUAAUGUAACCUGAGCUGUCAGCACUGCUAUGAGGGACUCUUUAAAAACAACAUUUUUCUCCAAUGUUCACCAGGCUAACUUCUUGCAGGCAGCUGUUUCACAGAAUCACAGAAUGGUUGAGGUUGGAAGGGACCUCUGGAGAUCAUCUAGUCCAACCCCCCUGCUCAAGCAGGGUCACCUGGAGGACAUUGACAGGAUCGCGUCCAGGCGAGUUUUGAAUAUCUCCAGAGAAGGAGACUCCACAACCUCUCUGGGCAACCUGUUCCAGUGCUCUGUCACCCUCACAGUGAAGAAGUUUUUCCUCAUGUUCACAUGGAAUUGUCUGUGUUUCAGUUUGUGCCCGUUGCCUCUUGUCCUUGUAAUGGCACUUUUGACAUAAACAAUAGAGCUUCCUUGCAAAGUGGGGGAACUGAGAAGUAGUGGUUUGAUAGGAAAUGAAGAGUAGGGCUGGAAUAAAUGUUUGCCAGAGGACA
RNAcentral lists this long non-coding RNA (1442 nucleotides) under Apteryx owenii (little spotted kiwi). RNAcentral describes it as "lncRNA (ENSAOWG00000013555.1)". Lineage: Eukaryota; Metazoa; Chordata; Aves; Apterygiformes; Apterygidae. The record is from RNAcentral.